This 375-nucleotide ribosomal RNA is filed under the name Pituophis vertebralis (Cape gopher snake). RNAcentral describes it as "partial 12S ribosomal RNA". The record is from RNAcentral. Lineage: Eukaryota; Metazoa; Chordata; Lepidosauria; Squamata; Colubridae.
AUAUUAACGGCGUAAAACACGACUAAUAAAAUGUCCUAGUAUUAGGAAAGAAGCUAAACUAGGCUGUAAAAAGCCAUAAGCCACACUAACCACCCUAAUAAAAAACAGCUUCCACUCGUGAAAGCCAGGAUACAAACUAAGAUUAGAUACCUUACUAUGCCUAGCUAUAACACAACAAUUAAAUUACCCAUUGUUCGCCAAAUAACUACGAGUGAAAACUUAAAAUUUAAAAGACUUGACGGUACCUCAAAACAACCUAGAGGAGCCUGUCUAAUAACCGAUACUCCACGAUUAACCCAACCCGCCCUAGCCUAACAGUCUAUAUACCGCCGUCGCCAGCCUACCUUGUGAAAGAAACAAAGUAAGCCAACUAGC